AUACUCUGGUUUCUCUUCAGAUCGUAUAAAUAUUUUGCCUUUUACUAAAGAUUCUGUGAAGAGGAACAACUCUGAGCCUUAAACCAAUUUUUUGAGGCCUUCUUUGGGAAGUCU
RNAcentral lists this small nuclear RNA (114 nucleotides) under Microcebus murinus (gray mouse lemur). RNAcentral describes it as "U5 spliceosomal RNA (ENSMICG00000021095.3)". It matches the Rfam family "U5 spliceosomal RNA". From Rfam's summary of the family: U5 RNA is a component of both types of known spliceosome. The precise function of this molecule is unknown, though it is known that the 5' loop is required for splice site selection and p220 binding, and that both the 3' stem-loop and the Sm site are important for Sm protein binding and cap methylation. Lineage: Eukaryota; Metazoa; Chordata; Mammalia; Primates; Cheirogaleidae. The record is from Rfam by way of RNAcentral.